UACGGGGGGGGCAAGCGUUGUUCGGAAUUACUGGGCGUAAAGGGCGCGUAGGCGGCCUGUUAAGUCGGACGUGAAAUCCCUCGGCUCAACCGGGGAACUGCGUCCGAUACUGGCGGGCUUGAAUUCGGGAGAGGGAUGUGGAAUUCCAGGUGUAGCGGUGAAAUGCGUAGAUAUCUGGAGGAACACCGGUGGCGAAGGCGGCAUCCUGGACCGGUAUUGACGCUGAGGCGCGAAAGCUAGGGGAGCAAACGGG
Molecule: ribosomal RNA, 253 nt
Filed under: uncultured bacterium
Lineage: Bacteria
Description: partial 16S ribosomal RNA
Rfam family: Bacterial small subunit ribosomal RNA
Source: RNAcentral